This 795-nucleotide ribosomal RNA is filed under the name uncultured bacterium. Its description in RNAcentral is "bacterial SSU rRNA". It matches the Rfam family "Bacterial small subunit ribosomal RNA", at positions 8 to 804 of the family's 1533-position model. The record is from RNAcentral.
AGAGUUUGAUUAUGGCUCAGGCUGUAUGCUGGCGGCGUGCCUAACACAUGCAAGUCGAGCGACCCUUAUAACAUGAGGUUUUCGGACGGAAUGUUAUCUGACUGACCGGCGGACGGGUGAGUAACGCGUGGGUAACCUGCCUUAUACAGGGGGAUAACAGUUAGAAAUGACUGCUAAUACCGCAUAAGCGCACAGUACCGCAUGGUGGUGUGUGAAAAACUCCGGUGGUAUAAGAUGGACCCGCGUCUGAUUAGCCAGUUGGCGGGGUAACGGCCCACCAAAGCGACGAUCAGUAGCCGACCUGAGAGGGUGACCGGCCACAUUGGGACUGAGACACGGCCCAAACUCCUACGGGAGGCAACAGUGGGGAAUAUUGCACAAUGGGGGAAACCCUGAUGCAGCAACGCCGCGUGAGUGAAGAAGUAUUUCGGUAUGUAAAGCUCUAUCAGCAGGGAAGAAGAUGACGGUACCUGAUUAAGAAGCCCCGGCUAACUACGUGCCAGCAGCCGCGGUAAUACGUAGGGGGCAAGCGUUAUCCGGAUUUACUGGGUGUAAAGGGAGCGCAGACGGUAGCGCAAGUCUGGAGUGAAAGCCCGGGGCCCAACCCCGGAACUGCUCUGGAAACUGUGCGGCUAGAGUACUGGAGGGGCAGGCGGAAUUCCUAGUGUAACGGAGACAUGCGUAUAUAUUAGGAGGAACACCAUUGAAGAAGGCGGCCUGCUGGACAGACCUGAUCUUGAGGUUCCAAAACGUGGGGAGUAAAAAGGAAUAAAUACCCUGGUAAUCCCCGCCCGU